Long non-coding RNA from Lucilia cuprina (Australian sheep blowfly), 672 nucleotides. RefSeq lists it as uncharacterized. The transcript is spliced from 2 exons. Lineage: Eukaryota; Metazoa; Arthropoda; Insecta; Diptera; Calliphoridae. The record is from RefSeq and is a predicted model, not a curated record.
UGUAGCCAAACAUUUUAUAUAAUUAUAUUAAAAUAUUAAAAAAAUGAUCCGAAAAUAUUUUUCGAUAACAUUAAUAAUUCUAUUGUUAAACAUGUUUCAAAUAGUUCAAAAUUAUAAUGUAAAAAGUACUGUAAAAAAAGUAUUGUCAAAUUGCGAAUAUAUCGAUCAAAAUGAAGAAAAUUGUGUGUACAAACAACCCAAAACAAUUUAUGAAAAAUUCCAUACGAAAAGUUUUAAACCUUAUCCAAAGACAAAGGGGAUAAAAACUACUAAAGAUGGAAAAAUACCUUGGUAUGCCAAGGUAAUUCAAGAUCAAGAAAAUUUAAAUAAAAUCAAAGAAAAAAUUCAUUAGGCAAGAAAAAUCAAGUACUCAAAUUCCUAAAUCCUUAAUUUAAAAUUUUUUACGAGUUUUUUUUUUAACAGUAUUCUAUUUACGAAAAACAUUAAUAAAAAGUCGCAGUAUUACCAGGAAAAAGGUAAAGAUCAAAAUGUGAAAAGACUUGAUGUGACAAAUAGCUAACUUGUUGUGUUUUCACUAUGCAUUUUUUAUGGAAUCAUGAUUAAUAUGUUUGUAUAUAGUAUGAAUCGUUAUUAUUUAUAUUGGUAUAACAUAAUUUCAAUUCUACUGUUCUCGAUGAGUAAUAAUAAAUAACAAUGCUAAAAAAAUUGCAA